UUUCCGGUUGAUCCCGCCGGAGGUCACUGCUAUCGGGGUUCGAUUAAGCCAUGCGAGUCGAGAGGGUUCAGACCCUCGGCGGACUGCUCAGUAACACGUGGAUAACCUGACCUAGGGAGGGGGAUGACCCCGGGAAACUGGGGAUAAUACCCCAUAGGAUACGGAUGCUGGAAUGCACUGUAACCGAAAGCUCCGGCGCCCUAGGAUGGAUCUGCGGCCGAUUAGGUUGUUGUUGGGGUAACGGCCCAACAAGCCGGUAAUCGGUACGGGUUGUGGGAGCAAGAGCCCGGAGAUGGAUUCUGAGACACGAAUCCAGGCCCUACGGGGCGCAGCAGGCGCGAAAACUUUACAAUGCGGGAAACCGUGAUAAGGGAACCCCGAGUGCCCGUAAACGCGGGCUGUUAGGGUGCUUAAAACACACUCUGAGAAAGGGCCGGGCAAGACCGGUGCCAGCCGCCGCGGUAAUACCGGCGGCUCGAGUGGUGGCCGCUAUUAUUGGGCUUAAAGCGUUCGUAGCUGGGUUGUUAAGUCUCUUGGGAAAUCUGACAGCUCAACCGUUAGGCGUCUAAGAGAAACUGGCGAUCUUGGGACCGGGAGAGGUGAGAGGUACUCCGGGGGUAGGAGUGAAAUCCUGUAAUCCUCGGGGGACCACCUGUGGCGAAGGCGUCUCACCAGAACGGCUCCGACAGUGAGGGACGAAAGCUGGGGGAGCAAACCGGAUUAGAUACCCGGGUAGUCCCAGCCGUAAACGAUGCGCGUUAGGUGUAUCGGUGACCACGAGUUACCGAGGUGCCGAAGGGAAACUGUGAAACGUGCCGCUUGGGAAGUACGGUCGCAAGGCUGAAACUUAAAGGAAUUGGCGGGGGAGCACAACAACGGGUGGAGCCUGCGGUUUAAUUGGAUUCAACGCCGGAA
This 915-nucleotide ribosomal RNA is filed under the name uncultured Methanoculleus sp. Its description in RNAcentral is "bacterial SSU rRNA". It matches the Rfam family "Archaeal small subunit ribosomal RNA", at positions 1 to 923 of the family's 1478-position model. Lineage: Archaea; Methanobacteriati; Methanobacteriota; Methanomicrobia; Methanomicrobiales; Methanomicrobiaceae. The record is from RNAcentral.